Molecule: ribosomal RNA, 1489 nt
Filed under: Vibrio sp.
Lineage: Bacteria; Pseudomonadati; Pseudomonadota; Gammaproteobacteria; Vibrionales; Vibrionaceae
Description: bacterial SSU rRNA
Rfam family: Bacterial small subunit ribosomal RNA
Source: RNAcentral
GGCUCAGAUUGAACGCUGGCGGCAGGCCUAACACAUGCAAGUCGAGCGGAAACGAGUUAUCUGAACCUUCGGGGAACGAUAACGGCGUCGAGCGGCGGACGGGUGAGUAAUGCCUAGGAAAUUGCCCUGAUGUGGGGGAUAACCAUUGGAAACGAUGGCUAAUACCGCAUGAUGCCUACGGGCCAAAGAGGGGGACCUUCGGGCCUCUCGCGUCAGGAUAUGCCUAGGUGGGAUUAGCUAGUUGGUGAGGUAAGGGCUCACCAAGGCGACGAUCCCUAGCUGGUCUGAGAGGAUGAUCAGCCACACUGGAACUGAGACACGGUCCAGACUCCUACGGGAGGCAGCAGUGGGGAAUAUUGCACAAUGGGCGCAAGCCUGAUGCAGCCAUGCCGCGUGUGUGAAGAAGGCCUUCGGGUUGUAAAGCACUUUCAGUCGUGAGGAAGGUAGUGUAGUUAAUAGCUGCAUUAUUUGACGUUAGCGACAGAAGAAGCACCGGCUAACUCCGUGCCAGCAGCCGCGGUAAUACGGAGGGUGCGAGCGUUAAUCGGAAUUACUGGGCGUAAAGCGCAUGCAGGUGGUUUGUUAAGUCAGAUGUGAAAGCCCGGGGCUCAACCUCGGAAUAGCAUUUGAAACUGGCAGACUAGAGUACUGUAGAGGGGGGUAGAAUUUCAGGUGUAGCGGUGAAAUGCGUAGAGAUCUGAAGGAAUACCGGUGGCGAAGGCGGCCCCCUGGACAGAUACUGACACUCAGAUGCGAAAGCGUGGGGAGCAAACAGGAUUAGAUACCCUGGUAGUCCACGCCGUAAACGAUGUCUACUUGGAGGUUGUGGCCUUGAGCCGUGGCUUUCGGAGCUAACGCGUUAAGUAGACCGCCUGGGGAGUACGGUCGCAAGAUUAAAACUCAAAUGAAUUGACGGGGGCCCGCACAAGCGGUGGAGCAUGUGGUUUAAUUCGAUGCAACGCGAAGAACCUUACCUACUCUUGACAUCCAGAGAACUUUCCAGAGAUGGAUUGGUGCCUUCGGGAACUCUGAGACAGGUGCUGCAUGGCUGUCGUCAGCUCGUGUUGUGAAAUGUUGGGUUAAGUCCCGCAACGAGCGCAACCCUUAUCCUUGUUUGCCAGCGAGUAAUGUCGGGAACUCCAGGGAGACUGCCGGUGAUAAACCGGAGGAAGGUGGGGACGACGUCAAGUCAUCAUGGCCCUUACGAGUAGGGCUACACACGUGCUACAAUGGCGCAUACAGAGGGCGGCCAACUUGCGAAAGUGAGCGAAUCCCAAAAAGUGCGUCGUAGUCCGGAUUGGAGUCUGCAACUCGACUCCAUGAAGUCGGAAUCGCUAGUAAUCGUGGAUCAGAAUGCCACGGUGAAUACGUUCCCGGGCCUUGUACACACCGCCCGUCACACCAUGGGAGUGGGCUGCAAAAGAAGUAGGUAGUUUAACCUUCGGGGGGACGCUUACCACUUUGUGGUUCAUGACUGGGGUGAAGUCGU